AUUGAACGCUGGCGGCAGGCUUAACACAUGCAAGUCGAGCGGAGAUGAGGUGCUUGCACCUUAUCUAAGCGGCGGACGGGUGAGUAAUGCUUAGGAAUCUGCCAUUUAGUGGGGGACAACAUUCCGAAAGGAAUGCUAAUACCGCAUACGUCCUACGGGAGAAAGCAGGGGAUCUUCGGACCUUGCGCUAAAUGAUGAGCCUAAGUCGGAUUAGCUAGUUGGUGGGGUAAAGGCCUACCAAGGCGACGAUCUGUAGCGGGUCUGAGAGGAUGAUCCGCCACACUGGGACUGAGACACGGCCCAGACUCCUACGGGAGGCAGCAGUGGGGAAUAUUGGACAAUGGGCGGAAGCCUGAUCCAGCCAUGCCGCGUGUGUGAAGAAGGCCUUUUGGUUGUAAAGCACUUUAAGCGAGGAGGAGGCUACUAGUACUAAUACUACUGGAUAGUGGACGUUACUCGCAGAAUAAGCACCGGCUAACUCUGUGCCAGCAGCCGCCGCCG
This 501-nucleotide ribosomal RNA is filed under the name uncultured bacterium. RNAcentral describes it as "partial 16S ribosomal RNA". It matches the Rfam family "Bacterial small subunit ribosomal RNA", at positions 30 to 523 of the family's 1533-position model. The record is from RNAcentral.